CCUACGGGAGGCAGCAGUAGGGAAUCUUCCGCAAUGGACGAAAGUCUGACGGAGCAACGCCGCGUGAACGAUGAAGGCCUUCGGGUCGUAAAGUUCUGUUGUUAGGGAAGAACAAGUGCUAGUUGAAUAAGCUGGCACCUUGACGGUACCUAACCAGAAAGCCACGGCUAACUACGUGCCAGCAGCCGCGGUAAUACGUAGGUGGCAAGCGUUGUCCGGAAUUAUUGGGCGUAAAGCGCGCGCAGGCGGUUUCUUAAGUCUGAUGUGAAAGCCCCCGGCUCAACCGGGGAGGGUCAUUGGAAACUGGGAAACUUGAGUGCAGAAGAGGAAAGUGGAAUUCCAAGUGUAGCGGUGAAAUGCGUAGAGAUUUGGAGGAACACCAGUGGCGAAGGCGACUUUCUGGUCUGUAACUGACGCUGAGGCGCGAAAGCGUGGGGAGCAAACAGGAUUAGAUACCCUGGUAGUCCACGCUGUAAACGAUGAGUGCUAAGUGUUAGAGGGUUUCCGCCCUUUAGUGCUGAAGUUAACGCAUUAAGCACUCCGCCUGGGGAGUACGGUCGCAAGACUGAAACUCAAAGGAAUUGACGGCUGAGACNGCGACGACGACGACGAGGAGGAG
RNAcentral lists this ribosomal RNA (619 nucleotides) under uncultured bacterium. Its description in RNAcentral is "bacterial SSU rRNA". It matches the Rfam family "Bacterial small subunit ribosomal RNA", at positions 338 to 946 of the family's 1533-position model. The record is from RNAcentral.